RNAcentral lists this ribosomal RNA (449 nucleotides) under uncultured bacterium. Its description in RNAcentral is "partial 16S ribosomal RNA". It matches the Rfam family "Bacterial small subunit ribosomal RNA", at positions 29 to 523 of the family's 1533-position model. The record is from RNAcentral.
AACGAACGCUGGCGGCAUGCCUAACACAUGCAAGUCGAACGAAGGCUUCGGCCUUAGUGGCGCACGGGUGAGUAACGCGUGGGAAACUGCCUAUUGGUGGGGAAUAACGACGGGAAACUGUCGCUAAUACCGCAUAAGCCCUUCGGGGGAAAGAUUUAUCGCCGUUGGAUGUGCCCGCGUUCGACUAGCUAGUUGGUGAGGUAACGGCUCACCAAGGCGACGAGCGGUAGCGGGUCUGAGAGGAUGAUCAGCCACACUGGGACUGAGACAUGGCCCAGACUCCUACGGGUGGCCGCAGUGGGGACUAUUGGACGAUGGGCGAAAGCCUGAUCCUGCAAUGCCGCGUGAGUGAUGAAGGCAUGAGGGUUGCAAAGCUCUUUCGGGUGGGACGAUGAUGACGGUACCACCAGAAGAAGCCCCGGCUAACUUCGUGCCAGCCGCCGCGGUAA